GAUGAACGCUGGCGGCGUGCCUAACACAUGCAAGUCGAACGGGGUAUAGACGCCGUUUGAAGCUUCGGCAGAAAACAUGUCUAUACUUAGUGGCGAACGGGUGAGUAACGCGUGGGCAACCUGCCCCGUACCGGGGGAUAGCAGUUGGAAACGACUGAUAAUACCGCAUAAGCGCACGGUAAGGCAUCUUACAGUGUGAAAAACUCCGGUGGUACGGGAUGGGCCCGCGUCUGAUUAGCCAGUUGGCGGGGUAACGGCCCACCAAAGCGACGAUCAGUAGCCGGGCUGAGAGGCCGGACGGCCACAUUGGGACUGAGACACGGCCCAGACUCC
RNAcentral lists this ribosomal RNA (333 nucleotides) under uncultured Coprococcus sp. RNAcentral describes it as "bacterial SSU rRNA". It matches the Rfam family "Bacterial small subunit ribosomal RNA", at positions 28 to 339 of the family's 1533-position model. Lineage: Bacteria; Bacillati; Bacillota; Clostridia; Lachnospirales; Lachnospiraceae. The record is from RNAcentral.